AUUGAACGCCGGCGGCAUGCUUUACACAUGCAAGUCGAACGGCAGCGCGGGCUUCGGCCUGGCGGCGAGUGGCGAACGGGUGAGUAAUGCAUCGGAACGUGCCCAGUAGUGGGGGAUAGCCCGGCGAAAGCCGGAUUAAUACCGCAUACGACCUGAGGGUGAAAGCGGGGGACCGAAAGGCCUCGCGCUAUUGGAGCGGCCGAUGUCGGAUUAGCUAGUUGGUGGGGUAAAGGCUUACCAAGGCGAUGAUCCGUAGCUGGUCUGAGAGGACGACCAGCCACACUGGGACUGAGACACGGCCCAGACUCCUACGGGAGGCAGCAGUGGGGAAUUUUGGACAAUGGGGGCAACCCUGAUCCAGCCAUGCCGCGUGCGGGAAGAAGGCCUUCGGGUUGUAAACCGCUUUUGUUCGGGAAGAAAUCCUCUGGGCUAAUACCCCGGGGGGAUGACGGUACCGGAAGAAUAAGCACCGGCUAACUACGUG
This 484-nucleotide ribosomal RNA is filed under the name uncultured bacterium. Its description in RNAcentral is "partial 16S ribosomal RNA". It matches the Rfam family "Bacterial small subunit ribosomal RNA", at positions 28 to 507 of the family's 1533-position model. The record is from RNAcentral.